GAUGAACGCUGGCGGCGUGCUUAACACAUGCAAGUCGAACGGAAAGGCUCCUGCUUGCAGGGGUACUCGAGUGGCGAACGGGUGAGUAACACGUGGGUGAUCUGCCCUGCACUUCGGGAUAAGCCUGGGAAACUGGGUCUAAUACCGGAUAGGACCACAUUUUGGAUGGUGUGGUGGAAAGUUUUUCGGUGUGGGACGAGCUCGCGGCCUAUCAGCUUGUUGGUGGGGUAAUGGCCUACCAAGGCGUCGACGGGUAGCCGGCCUGAGAGGGUGUACGGCCACAUUGGGACUGAGAUACGGCCCAGACUCCUACGGGAGGCAGCAGUGGGGAAUAUUGCACAAUGGGCGCAAGCCUGAUGCAGCGACGCCGCGUGGGGGAUGACGGCCUUCGGGUUGUAAACUCCUUUCGCUAGGGACGAAGCGCAAGUGACGGUACCUGGAGAAGAAGCACCGGCUAACUACGUG
Molecule: ribosomal RNA, 465 nt
Filed under: uncultured bacterium
Lineage: Bacteria
Description: partial 16S ribosomal RNA
Rfam family: Bacterial small subunit ribosomal RNA
Source: RNAcentral